Molecule: ribosomal RNA, 464 nt
Filed under: uncultured bacterium
Lineage: Bacteria
Description: partial 16S ribosomal RNA
Rfam family: Bacterial small subunit ribosomal RNA
Source: RNAcentral
GAUGAACGCUAGCGGGAGGCCUAACACAUGCAAGCCGAGCGGUAUUUGUUCUUCGGAACAGAGAGAGCGGCGCACGGGUGCGGAACACGUGUGCAACCUGCCUUUAUCUGGGGGAUAGCCUUUCGAAAGGAAGAUUAAUACCCCAUAAUAUAUUGAGUGGCAUCAGUUGAUAUUGAAAACUCCGGGGGAUAGAGAUGGGCACGGGCAAGAUCAGAUAGUUGGUGAGGCAACGGCUCACCAAGACAAUGACGGGUAGGGGGCGUGAGAGGGUGACGGGCCACACUGGGACUGAGACACGGCCCAGACUCCUACGGGAGGAAGCAGGGGGGAAUAUUGCACAAUGGGCGCAAGCCUGAUGCAGCAACGCCGCGUGAGGGACGACGGCCGUCGGGUUGUAAACCUCUUUUAGCAGGGAAGAAGCGAAAGUGACGGUACCUGCAGAAAAAGCACCGGCUAACUACGUG